CUCACAGUUGGUCCAUUACACUUUUUUCUAUAAUAAAUCUUCUCUCUCUCUCUCUCUUCAGGUGAGACCAAACCAAUUAACAUCUUUAAAGCCUAAAAUAAGUGGCUAAGAGGAAGAAGAGAGAUAAAGAAGAAAAGAGCAACCAAAGAUAAGGAUGAAAAUGGCAGCUGAUUUUGCAAGUCCAAAGCUGAAGCUUCUGCUCCCCAUCUUCUGUUUCUUCACCUUCUUUUCUUUUGCUGUCUCUGGACUUGCAGCUAACACCACCGCUAAGCUUCACCCAGCAGAAGUGAAGGCAUUGAAAGAGAUAGGGAGAAAACUGGGGAAGAAAGAUUGGGAUUUUGGAAUGGAUCCAUGCAGUGGAAAAGGGAAUUGGAGUGUUUUGGAUGAAAAGAAAGGGUUUGAAAGCACUGUCACUUGUAAUUGCAGCUUCAAUCACAACUCCACUUGCCAUGUAGUAAGCAUUGCCUUAAAGGCUCAGAAUCUAUCUGGAAUCGUUCCACCAGAAUUUUCAAAGCUUGGCUACCUUGAACUACUGGACCUCAGUCGCAACUGCCUCACUGGUUCUAUACCUAUCCAAUGGGCUACCAUGCGCUUAGUCGAUCUCUCUUUUAUGGGGAAUCGAUUGUCUGGUUCAUUUCCAAAAGUUCUCACCAAUAUCACCACCCUCAAGAACCUGAGCAUUGAGGGAAAUAAAUUUUCAGGAUCCAUUCCACCAGAAAUUGGAAAAUUGAUAAAGUUACAGAAAAUUAUCAUUUCAUCAAAUGCAUUCACAGGAAAAUUACCCUCAGAGCUUACCAAGUUGGUCAACUUGACUGAUUUGAGAAUAAGUGAUAAUAAUUUCUCAGGAAAGAUACCUGGUUUCAUCAGCAAAUUGACACAGAUUCAGAAACUGCACAUACAGGGUUGCUCACUUGAGGGACCUAUACCUUCUACCAUUUCUGUGUUGACAAGCCUAACCGAUCUGCGGAUUAGUGAUCUGAAAGGAAAAGGUUCAACAUUCCCACCUUUGAGUGAUAUGGAAUCGAUCAAGACACUGAUACUAAGGAAUUGCAUGCUAUCUGGAGAGAUCCCAGAAUUUAUUGGGAACAUGAAAAAACUAAAAAAUCUGUGAGUAGAUUCAUCUCAAGUCUCUAAUGAGUCCCUAACAAUGGAUGUUUUCUCAUUCAAACCUAAUAUUGUUAAUAUGACUAAAUUUUAUUCUCUCAAACAAUGGUAAAAUUAAAGCCUUUUCAUAUAUCAUUUUGAAGAAAUCCCAGAAUUAAUGAAAAAAAUUGGCUUUAAGCUUGGGAUACCACUUUCUGUGUAUGUGGCUUGACAUACCAAAAUCAUAUUUUAUGUUAUGUGGAAUUUCUCUACUGGAUCUUAGCCAGCAUUUAAAAACAAAAAAUCCCAUGUGAAGGGGGUCUAAAUCCAUACACAUGGAACGGAAAAUUGCUUUUAAAUUUUCCCUCUCUUUUCCCCCUUCCUUUUUUCUUCUCGGAUUAUUUGUUUUUCCUUGUCAACGUAGAGAUCUCAGCUUCAAUAACCUGACUGGAGGAAUUCCUACAUCAUUUUCCCAAUUGGCGAAAGUAGAUUUUAUGUAAGUGGAUGUCCCAAGUGAAUAUUAUAAAUUUGUUGGCUGUACUUGAGUUAGCAUAACGUUGGCUAUUUAUUAUUUUAUUAGGUACUUGACAGGAAACAGGCUCACUAGAUCUAUACCUGAAUGGGUCCUUGAAAGGAACAAGAAUGUGUAUGUUUAUUUCCUUCACAUACAUUUUCAAGCUUGAAGUUCCACAUCUUCCCAAAAGUUGUCCUGGUCCAACAGCUUUUAGGGAAUGCUUAUUUAAACCAUUUGCUUCUGGAGCAACUUAAAUAUGCAAGUGCAAGGAUGUGCAAAUGGUGUCAUAUAAUCCAAUGUAACUCACCAUCUUCAAUUUGGAAGUAAAAUUAAGCUCACAAGGGAAAAAAAUCAUAUUAGGAUAGCGUUUUACUGCUGCCAUACUUGAACUAUGUAGAUGAUAACUGUUGAAGCUUUUACUGGGUUUCAUCUGUAGGGAUUUUUCUGAUAACAACUUCACGUGGGGAAGCUCAAGUCCAAUUGAAUGUCCUGGAGGGAGUGUGAACUUAGUGGAGAGUUACUCUUCAUCAGCAAACAAAUUAAGUAAAGUCCAUUCAUGCCUGAAACAGGACUUUCCUUGUUCUUCUUCAAGUAAACGUGAGUAAAUCAUUUGAGCUUAAACUUCCAGAAAUGCAUGCACCCUUUUUACAAUUGGCAUGUUCAGUUUGUUUGACUUGGCCAUUUCUUGAAAAUUUCACAGAUUUUCUUUCUAAUUUAAAGCUUUAUUCAUAUCCAAGUAUCUCUGUUUAACAUGGAAUAGUCAGGCUUGCAGAAGCAUAAAGAACUUCGAAGGGAAAAAAGUCGAACACAUUAAUAUAAGAAUUCUUAUGCUUUAAUUAACCUUUUUCAGGGUCUCGAAGUCAAUAAUCAGCAGUUCACCAUAAUUUUGGAUAUUACGCAUAAUAUAUUUUCCAAAAGUAAAAUAAAUGUAUUAGUCGGAUAUAUCCUGAAAUAUCACUAACAGAUGACUUAUAUUAUAUGCCUCAGUUGGCUGUACAAAAGAUCAUGAUGAUUUUUGUUCUCUUUCGCAACUUCCUGCUUCUCGUUAACUUUAGGAGUAAUUGUUCUCUCAUGGAACUUCCUACCUUUUACUUCACUAUCUCAUCAAUUGCUUUUUGCCAAAACCAUCAAGACGCCUAAAUCAUACUUUCUUUAAUAAAGUUCCCAAAUCUAUUUCUAAUGAAAUAAGAAACCUUUCACAUGGUUGUUACAUAAAAUCAUUAAUAGAAAAUCCUCAUAAAACGAGACCUCCCAGUAGUUAGUGUAAUUACAGUUUAAUGAAUACUAUUAGGUUGGAGAGAAGGAAAUGGUUUGUUUGCACAUUGUGUAUAUAGGACCAAGAAAACGAAAAAAUGGUAAUUUUAAGGAAGGAAUGUAUUAAGUAUUUCAACUUCAUUUGAUGAAUUAGUGAUUCAGGAAUUAUUUUUGAAAUAUAGUUGAUUGUGCAUAACAUAGUUUCUUGUCAUUGAUAAAAAUAUGGCAAGUUUCUGAAAUUCAGAAUGAUAUAGAAUUUCUUUAAUUUAAUAAAAAUGUUUUGCCAAUUUUCUGAGUUUCUUAUCAGAUAAAAAUCAGUAAGAGAUGCAUUAUGUUUAUUUAAGUUAAGAAACGAGAUAUGGCCGGAAGAGAGGAAAACCGGGAGACAAAUUCUUGUUAGUCGGCAGUGAAAAUGGAAAAAAUCCUGUCAGUUGAUUCAACUAGGUUCCAUAUUCCACUUCCAUUUUAGCCUUUUCUGGAAAUUAUGUAUUUAAAUCGUUCUUUUGCAUUGUGAUUUCUUAUCAGAUUACUCCUUGCAUAUUAAUUGUGGUGGUAAAGAGGUAAUUGCCGGUGAUAACACCACAUUCCAAGCUGAUUUAGAAGCAAGAGGUGCUUCUCUGUUUUACUCUCAUCAGUCUUGGGCAUUUAGCAGCACUGGAAACUUCAUGGACAAUGACAGAGAUGCUGAUUCCUAUGUUCAGACCAAUAAUUCUGCUAUAUCCAAUGCCUCUGCUCUAGAUGCACAACUGUACACCACAGCGCGCGUUUCUCCUCUCUCUCUCACUUACUAUGGACUUUGCCUUAUGAAUGGGAAUUAUACUGUAAAGCUCCACUUUGCAGAGAUUGUUUUCACAAAUGACACUUCAUUUUAUAGUCUUGGGAAGCGUUUAUUUGAUGUUUAUAUCCAGGGAAAGUUGGUUCUGAAAGAUUUUAACAUCGCAGAAGAGGCUGGUGACGUUGGUAGGCCAAUUGUAAAGAGAUUUACUGUGGCUGUAACAAGCCACACGUUAAAGAUUCACUUUUAUUGGGCUGGAAGAGGGACAACAGGCAUACCAGUUAGAGGAGUUUAUGGCCCUCUUAUAUCAGCUAUAUCAGUUGAUCCAAACUUCAAACCACCUUCAGAUAACAAAAAGGAAGUCAUCAUAGUGACUGGCACUGUGGCUGCAACAUUGUUUCUUAUCCUUCUGUUCCUGGGUAUCAUGUGGAGGAAAGGCUGUCUGGGAGGCAAAGUGUCUGCAGAUAAAGGUGUUACACAUCCCGCUAGUAAUCUUUGUUAUAGCCUUAUAGGGGCAAAGAACGAAAGUUCAUUGAAAUCUUGCAUUCAAAUUUGUACACGUAAAAUAUGUUUGAAACCCCCUAUAUGUCACAUUGUACAUUCAAUAUAUUGUCACGUGGAAUUUAUUUGUCUCUAUUCCUAAAUGUCGUUUCUCCAUUAUCCAAUAUGGCUAAAUUUGCAAGUCUGCACACUAAAACCAAAUACAGAAACACCACUGCUAGCUAGCCUACUCCAGAAAAGCAAGCAUUAAGCUUGAAUUUCCUUUCAUAUAUUUUUCUUCUUACUAAACAUGACUUCUUAUCCACUCAGAACUCAGAGAAAUAAUUGUUGCAUCCAUAGAAUUUACUUCUGAAUCUGGUUAAGUUUCCAUACUGCAUAUAAGCUGUUAAAUUGGUCAUAGUAUUGCCAUGCUAUUCUCACAAAUCAUAACUUUUAUUAUUAUGCACACUAGAGAGAUUUGGUUAUGGUUAUACACCUUCCAUGUUUGCAAAAGAACAAAGGGGGAAAUGAUUUAGAAUUCCCUAUUGACAUAUAAAACUGCAUUUUGCAGAGCUGAGAGGUCUAGAUCUGCAAACAGGAAUAUUCACACUAAAACAAAUAAAAGCUUCCACUAAGAACUUUGAUGCGGAAAACAAAAUUGGAGAGGGUGGUUUUGGCUCGGUUUACAAGGGUCUACUAGCCGAUGGAACUGUAAUUGCAGUAAAGCAGCUCUCCUCAAAGUCUAAGCAAGGUAACCGUGAAUUUGUGAAUGAAAUA
Molecule: unclassified non-coding RNA, 4883 nt
Filed under: Hevea brasiliensis (rubber tree)
Lineage: Eukaryota; Viridiplantae; Streptophyta; Magnoliopsida; Malpighiales; Euphorbiaceae
Source: RNAcentral